CCUACGGGGGGCUGCAGUGGGGAAUAUUGGACAAUGGGGGCAACCCUGAUCCAGCCAUGCCGCGUGUGUGAAGAAGGCCCUCGGGUUGUAAAGCACUUUCAGUGAGGAAGAACGCCUGGUGGUUAAUACCCAUCAGGAAAGACAUCACUCACAGAAGAAGCACCGGCUAACUCCGUGCCAGCAGCCGCGGUAAUACGGAGGGUGCGAGCGUUAAUCGGAAUUACUGGGCGUAAAGCGCGCGUAGGUGGCUUGAUAAGCCGGAUGUGAAAGCCCCGGGCUCAACCUGGGAACGGCAUCCGGAACUGGCAAGCUAGAGUGCAGGAGAGGAAGGUAGAAUUCCCGGUGUAGCGGUGAAAUGCGUAGAGAUCGGGAGGAAUACCAGUGGCGAAGGCGGCCUUCUGGACUGACACUGACACUGAGGUGCGAAAGCGUGGGUAGCAAACAGGAUUAGAUACCCUUGUAGUC
This 465-nucleotide ribosomal RNA is filed under the name Vreelandella stevensii. RNAcentral describes it as "partial 16S ribosomal RNA". It matches the Rfam family "Bacterial small subunit ribosomal RNA", at positions 338 to 795 of the family's 1533-position model. The record is from RNAcentral. Lineage: Bacteria; Pseudomonadati; Pseudomonadota; Gammaproteobacteria; Oceanospirillales; Halomonadaceae.